This 440-nucleotide ribosomal RNA is filed under the name uncultured bacterium. RNAcentral's name for it is "partial 16S ribosomal RNA". It matches the Rfam family "Bacterial small subunit ribosomal RNA", at positions 338 to 795 of the family's 1533-position model. The record is from RNAcentral.
CCUACGGGUGGCAGCAGUAGGGAAUAUUGCUCAAUGGGGGAAACCCUGAAGCAGCAACGCCGCGUGAAGGAUGAAGGUUUUCGGGUUGUAAACUUCUUUUGUUAGAGAAGAAAAUGACGGUAUCUAACGAAUAAGCACCGGCGAACUACGUGCCAGGAGCCGCGGUAAUACGGAGGGUGCAAGCGUUACUCGGAAUCACUGGGGGUAAAGGGCGCGUAGGCGGGAUAGCAAGUCAGAUGUGAAAUCCUUUGGCUUAACCAUAGAACUGCAUUUGAUACUGGUAGUCUAGAGUAUGGGAGAGGUAGGUGGAAUUCCUGGUGUAGGGGUAAAAUCCGUAGAGAUCAAGAGGAAUACUGAUUGCGAAGGCGACCUGCUAGAACGUAACUGACGCUGAUGCGCGAAAGCGUGGGGAGCAAACAGGAUUAGAUACCCUUGUAGUC